Long non-coding RNA from Orbicella faveolata, 462 nucleotides. The record is from RefSeq and is a predicted model, not a curated record. NCBI's taxonomy places the organism in Eukaryota, Metazoa, Cnidaria, Anthozoa, Scleractinia, Merulinidae.
AUUAGUUACAAAUUUAUUGAAAUCGCCAGAAAAUUAUGUAAUAAAACAGAACUUACAAAUUUCCUGAUCAAUUUUCAGGGCGAUACUGGAGGAUUUGGAAUAAAGGGUUCUAAUGGAUUGGAAGGACAGAAGGGAGAGAGGGGAGUGGCUGGUGAUCCAGGCCCGCCGGGAAGUCCUGGACCUAAGUGCAAAGUGGCAGAAUAUACUUUUUCUUUCAUUCGUUAGCUAUACUCGCCAGCAUGUAGCACAUUAUUUUGACUUAGCAAAAGACGGUAAUAAUUGUUAAGAACGGUGCAAUAGUCUUCAUUUUGGUAAUUAAGACGGCAACAGAAUUAUAGUUUUAACAUAUGUGAUCCAAUAAAUCAUGAUAAAUACACAUAUCGUUGAUAAAUUUGCGUCUUUUUUUUUGUUUAGUUUAUUUACCGUAAAUGCUCGAAUUAGCGCCCGGGGCGCUUAUUUCAA